GCUGGGAAUAGUGGUGUAUGCCUGUAAUCCCAGUGGCUCAGGAGGCUGAGGCAGGAGGAUCACAAGUUCAAAGCCAUCCUCAGCAACUUAGUGAAGCUCUAAGCAACUUAGUGAGGCCCUGUCCCAA
RNAcentral lists this small RNA (127 nucleotides) under Marmota monax (woodchuck). Lineage: Eukaryota; Metazoa; Chordata; Mammalia; Rodentia; Sciuridae. The record is from RNAcentral.